UCGAUUUCCAGGACGCGGGGCGGGGGGCGGGGCACCGCUGCGGUUUCCGGGGAGCGGCAGGUGAGGCCACGCGGGGUCGCCGCCGGGGCUGACCUCUGGCUCCGAGCGAGGCGCUCCCUGCCGGGGUUGGCGUGGAAGCGCGAUGGGCACAGGCCUCUAGGAGCGGGUCUGGAACCACCGAGGGCCCGCUGCCUUUGUCCCGGAGCCAGCCGGGAAACAGCUCCCGCCUCUGCUAGAGACAGUUAGUGGAGGGCCAGGGUGGGUGAGGUCUGUGGCCCCCUGGAAACCAAUAAGCGGCGGCAAGAAAGGAGUUGGUCCCCACAAAUCGCCCAAAGUCAAGAGACCAUGACAAGUGCUGGAAAGAUGCUAAGUCCCUACUAAAUAUGCAUUCCCUUGGUCUUCAGAAGUCAUGGGGAAUAAUCGUUCGAUAUCUCCUUCAUAAAACCUUCCAUGAACUUGAAAACAGCAACCAGAAAAGAAAAAUUUGGAUGCAGAGACAGAUACACACAGAGAGAAGAAGACGUGAAGACACAGGGUGGACACAGAGAGGGGACAGAGGACUGGAGUGAUGCAUCUAUACGCCAAGGAACGCCUGAGGCUGCCGGAAGCUCGGAUUGCAGCAUGGAACAGAUCCUUCCCUAGCAUCUUCAGAGGGAGCAUGGCCCUGCCAACACCUUGAUUUUGGACUUCUGGCCUCCAGAAUUGUGAGAGAAUAAAUUUCUCUUUAUUAAAUAGAUAUCCACCCAGUUUCUGAUUCUCGUUAUGGCAGCCUAAAGAAACAAAUACAUCUGCUCGAGUUGCGUGUCCUUAACCAGGGCCAGAAAAAAGACGGGUGAAGCCUCAGCCUAUUCCUGCGUGGGAUGCUUGCGCAACAAAGAAAUAUAAACGAAAAUCCUCAGAUGUUAUUAAAGAGAGGCUCCUGGACUAAGAGGCCCCCAGAUGACGGCAGGGUGAGAGAGAAGCAAACUUUCCACAGUAUUAACUGUCACGGAUUUUUCCUCCUGUGUACAAUCGAGUGGCUGCAAGGCAGUUCUAAAAGGCGUGUUUUAUUUAUAAACAGAUCUGGAAAUAUUUUUAAAAUAAAAGAUGCCAAGGGUGGGGCUGGGUCACAGCCAAGUCAUGAGAAGUGAGAUGUUUAUUCUAGAGGUCGGCAUUAGCACCCUCCCACAGGUAGUUUUAAAGUAAUUCAGGGUCAAGUGGAAACAUUCUGAUUAUUUUUACCUUCAGCUUCAGAUUUCAGAGGGUAUGGAUUCUGGCUUGUUGGGAAGCUCAUCUGAGGGACUCUACGCUUUAAGUACAAUCCAGUUUCGUAGUUUCCGAGGCAAACGCUGACCUGACUGAAUUUAAAAACAGCUUCCGCAGUUGAUUUCCCCAAGGCCUCACCUUUACUUCCCUCUGCUCUCUUUCCUUUGUGUUCGCCUUAUUCUCAGGCUGGGGCACAUGCAGACCUUGGAAGAGACUGCAGGGGACCAACAGAGGAUGGGGAAGUUGUUAACAUGACUAAAUGCGCCCUUCCCGGGUUCCGUCUGCCAUCUUUCUGUUCUAUUUCUAUUCUGCCCUUUCUGUUCCAUUCUGGUUUCUUCAGUUGCUUUGAGGAGGGAGGAGGGAGAGGAUGUCUGGUCAAAGAGCAUCCCGAUGGGAACAGGAGAAUUAAGGAGAGGAAAUAGGAGCCGGAGAUAAAGAAAUAAGAGCUAGAAGAGAAACAAAUAGAGACGGAGAUGAUGGAUAAUACGAGGAACAUAACAGAGAGGGAGCAAAAGGAAAAAGGAGUGAGACAUGGAGAUUGUCCCGUAGAGAGAAACAAUUCAGAAAUAGAAAAAUGUGAGAAACUUGAAAGUAAACAAACUUAGAAGCCCAUACAGGAAAGGAAAGAACCAAAUGGAAGUAAGAAAUAGAACCCCAAACAGGAAGGACGUCUGAAUGAGAAAUGUGAUUGAGGGACGGAACAGAGAAGCCUUUGUGGCGUGUUUGUAGAUUAGAAGGAAACGACAGAACAGAGGGAAUCCAGGAGUGUUUAUUCCUUGCACCUGGCAAACAAAAAAAUCAUUAUUUUUUAAUCAUGGAAGAAACACCUCUAAGAGCACUGGGCCUUUCAUGCUAUCGGCCUGUCUCUCACUCAUCUUAAUCCCUUAGGACUCUUUUAAAAGCGUCAGGAAACCCAGCAUGAGGAAAACCACAUUUCCACCCACAUGACUUUUAUAUAAAGUUUACUUUAGAGAGAUAAGUUCUCACAUCCCUUAGAGUUCAAGCUGGGUUACCUGUCCUCGGCAGUAAAUGAUCUUGAGCUUUUUAGUUCCUUAUAAAUCCCCGGGUAAAUGACAAAAACAUCUUGGUUCCUUAAAAAUAUGGCUAAAAAAUGAAAUAAUUAUUUGCAUGACUCCCAUUUCAGAAGGCUGCUUUACUAUUAAUAAGUUAGAGGCUGCCUCGUAAGUUUAAAUAAUUUAACAAAUGGAGUAAUAAAAAAAAGGUAAGUAAAGCAUAAACCUAUAAACACAGCCCAUACCCAGAAGAAGUAAAGAUUAGUUAUUUCAUUAGUGCAAAUUGCUGUUACUAAACAUUAUGAUAAAUUACCAAAAAGAUGCCUCGCCACCCCUUCUAUAAUUUUAGGUUAUUAAUUUUAUUCAUAUACAAGUAAUUCUUGCCUUGUAUGCCUCUCUUGCCCUGUUUCUCUAAUGAGGAAACGGGGCGGGGGCGGGGAGGAAUGUAGUAGAUAAAAAUGCUCAAAUUGGGGCUGAAGCAAAUAAAAAAAGAUCAGAAACAAAUAACAUUAUCAGCUUUUAGACCCAUAAUAAGCUCUUAUUUAUUUAACCCUAUUAAUUUGAAAUUUGUACUAACUUGAUUGGGAUCUGGACAGAAAUUUUCCUUCAUUUAGCAAACGCCGUCUUGCUAAGUAGUGCAGAAGAAUGAUGUAAAUGUGAUUACAAGGGGAACAUUCAAAAUACAUCUUUGAGCACUUCAGGCAAUCUCUUCUAUAUGAAUAAUUAAUAUAAGAAUACAUAUCAUUCUUAUCCAAUAAUUAUCUGGUAAUUCAGAAAGAAUUUGUUAGGUCACCCUGCAGAGUAGGGAGGUGUGGGUUUCAUGCUAAAUAGCAAGGCACUUAACCUUUUUAGCCUUUAUAUUUCUUACCUGUAAAAUUAGUUUGAUAAUACUAACUCUACCUAGUCAAAGGGUUUUUUAUGAGCAUGAAAUGAGAGAAUGGAUGGGAAUCCAUUCUGAAGGUAUUAGUAAAAUUUAUUUUAUUUAAAAUGAAUUCAAAAUUUAUGCCUUUCAGUAUUUCAAUAUGACCUUCUCUCCAAUUGUCCACACCAAUGAGGGUUUUAUGCUUUAUUCAGCUUCAGUGAAAGCAGGUUCCCUAAUGAAUUGGUGUGUGUUUCAUACACACACACACACACACACACACACACACACACACACACAAACAAUUCUCUCUUUUCCAUUCCCCUUACCCUCAAAGUAUCUUUGAAGUUAUCUAUGGUAUUCUGAGUACACUAAAUUUACUUGACAUGGAACAAUUGAAAAAAGUUAUUGUGUGUACCUGAAAGAGUCUAGAUAUUGGAAUCUGACAGGCUUAGGUUCAAAUUAAGGCCCUUCCACAUAGAUGAGUAAGCCUAAGCAAUAAUCUUUCUGAGUCUCAGUUUCUUUGUUUGUAAAAAUGGAUAAUACCAACUGUAUAGGACUUUUUAUAAAGACUAGGGGAGAUAAUGUACACAGCACAUAGUGCCUAGCACAGACUAGGCCCUUCAAAGUGAUGACGAUUAUUAAUAUGAAAGGUAAGUUAUCUUGAAGUGAUAUUUGCAUUGGAGAAAUAACUCAAGACUCCUCACUUUAAAUCUCUGGCUCCAAUUCAACUUGGCUCCGAAAAUAUGGUGCCAAAUAGAGAGUCAUAAUCACAGUGUCUUGUACCAUUUCUUUUUUUUUUUACACAUAGAUACCCUAUAUUGCUUUUGGUGAAAAGUAUGUUGCAAAGUAUUAAAAUAAUGUUUCCUCAAUUCUAAGACAUCUGUUUUUUCACAUUUGAAUGUUUUGGAAAAUCAGAAUGAGCUUUACAAUUAUUGUCACAAUAAACAUGUCAACUGCUAGGUGGAAGAGUUGCUAAGAGGAGUUGUCAUUUGCCUGUAAAUCUUUCAGAAUAAAGAAUUUUUCAAAGC
Pteropus alecto (black flying fox) is the source of this 4148-nucleotide long non-coding RNA. RefSeq lists it as uncharacterized. The record is from RefSeq and is a predicted model, not a curated record. The transcript has 6 exons. Lineage: Eukaryota; Metazoa; Chordata; Mammalia; Chiroptera; Pteropodidae.